RNAcentral lists this ribosomal RNA (2758 nucleotides) under Klebsiella pneumoniae. RNAcentral describes it as "23S ribosomal RNA". It matches the Rfam family "Bacterial large subunit ribosomal RNA". Lineage: Bacteria; Pseudomonadati; Pseudomonadota; Gammaproteobacteria; Enterobacterales; Enterobacteriaceae. The record is from RNAcentral.
CACUAUCGUUAACUGAAUACAUAGGUUAACGAGGCGAACCGGGGGAACUGAAACAUCUAAGUACCCCGAGGAAAAGAAAUCAACCGAGAUUCCCCCAGUAGCGGCGAGCGAACGGGGAGCAGCCCAGAGUCUGAAUCAGCUUGUGUGUUAGUGGAACGGUCUGGAAAGUCCGACGGUACAGGGUGAUAGUCCCGUACACCAAAAUGCACAGGCUGUGAACUCGAAGAGUAGGGCGGGACACGUGGUAUCCUGUCUGAAUAUGGGGGGACCAUCCUCCAAGGCUAAAUACUCCUGACUGACCGAUAGUGAACCAGUACCGUGAGGGAAAGGCGAAAAGAACCCCGGCGAGGGGAGUGAAAAAGAACCUGAAACCGUGUACGUACAAGCAGUGGGAGCACCUUCGGGUGUGACUGCGUACCUUUUGUAUAAUGGGUCAGCGACUUAUAUUCUGUAGCAAGGUUAACCGUAUAGGGGAGCCGCAGGGAAACCGAGUCUUAACUGGGCGUUAAGUUGCAGGGUAUAGACCCGAAACCCGGUGAUCUAGCCAUGGGCAGGUUGAAGGUUGGGUAACACUAACUGGAGGACCGAACCGACUAAUGUUGAAAAAUUAGCGGAUGACUUGUGGCUGGGGGUGAAAGGCCAAUCAAACCGGGAGAUAGCUGGUUCUCCCCGAAAGCUAUUUAGGUAGCGCCUCGUGAAUUCAUCUUCGGGGGUAGAGCACUGUUUCGGCUAGGGGGUCAUCCCGACUUACCAACCCGAUGCAAACUACGAAUACCGAAGAAUGUUAUCACGGGAGACACACGGCGGGUGCUAACGUCCGUCGUGAAGAGGGAAACAACCCAGACCGCCAGCUAAGGUCCCAAAGUCAUGGUUAAGUGGGAAACGAUGUGGGAAGGCACAGACAGCCAGGAUGUUGGCUUAGAAGCAGCCAUCAUUUAAAGAAAGCGUAAUAGCUCACUGGUCGAGUCGGCCUGCGCGGAAGAUGUAACGGGGCUAAACCAUGCACCGAAGCUGCGGCAGCGACACUAUGUGUUGUUGGGUAGGGGAGCGUUCUGUAAGCCUGCGAAGGUGUGCUGUGAGGCAUGCUGGAGGUAUCAGAAGUGCGAAUGCUGACAUAAGUAACGAUAAAGCGGGUGAAAAGCCCGCUCGCCGGAAGACCAAGGGUUCCUGUCCAACGUUAAUCGGGGCAGGGUGAGUCGACCCCUAAGGCGAGGCCGAAAGGCGUAGUCGAUGGGAAACAGGUUAAUAUUCCUGUACUUGGUGUUACUGCGAAGGGGGGACGGAGAAGGCUAUGUUAGCCGGGCGACGGUUGUCCCGGUUUAAGCAUGUAGGCUGGUUGUCCAGGCAAAUCCGGAUAAUCAAGGCUGAGGUGUGAUGACGAGGCACUACGGUGCUGAAGUAACAAAUGCCCUGCUUCCAGGAAAAGCCUCUAAGCAUCAGGUAACAUUAAAUCGUACCCCAAACCGACACAGGUGGUCAGGUAGAGAAUACCAAGGCGCUUGAGAGAACUCGGGUGAAGGAACUAGGCAAAAUGGUGCCGUAACUUCGGGAGAAGGCACGCUGGUGUGUAGGUGAAGCCCCUGCGGGUGGAGCUGAGACCAGUCGAAGAUACCAGCUGGCUGCAACUGUUUAUUAAAAACACAGCACUGUGCAAACACGAAAGUGGACGUAUACGGUGUGACGCCUGCCCGGUGCCGGAAGGUUAAUUGAUGGGGUUAUCCGUAAGGAGAAGCUCUUGAUCGAAGCCCCGGUAAACGGCGGCCGUAACUAUAACGGUCCUAAGGUAGCGAAAUUCCUUGUCGGGUAAGUUCCGACCUGCACGAAUGGCGUAAUGAUGGCCAGGCUGUCUCCACCCGAGACUCAGUGAAAUUGAACUCGCUGUGAAGAUGCAGUGUACCCGCGGCAAGACGGAAAGACCCCGUGAACCUUUACUAUAGCUUGACACUGAACAUUGAGCCUUGAUGUGUAGGAUAGGUGGGAGGCUUUGAAGCGUGGACGCCAGUCUGCGUGGAGCCAACCUUGAAAUACCACCCUUUAAUGUUUGAUGUUCUAACGUUGGCCCCUGACCGGGGUUGCGGACAGUGUCUGGUGGGUAGUUUGACUGGGGCGGUCUCCUCCCAAAGCGUAACGGAGGAGCACGAAGGUUAGCUAAUCCUGGUCGGACAUCAGGAGGUUAGUGCAAUGGCAUAAGCUAGCUUGACUGCGAGCGUGACGGCGCGAGCAGGUGCGAAAGCAGGUCAUAGUGAUCCGGUGGUUCUGAAUGGAAGGGCCAUCGCUCAACGGAUAAAAGGUACUCCGGGGAUAACAGGCUGAUACCGCCCAAGAGUUCAUAUCGACGGCGGUGUUUGGCACCUCGAUGUCGGCUCAUCACAUCCUGGGGCUGAAGUAGGUCCCAAGGGUAUGGCUGUUCGCCAUUUAAAGUGGUACGCGAGCUGGGUUUAGAACGUCGUGAGACAGUUCGGUCCCUAUCUGCCGUGGGCGCUGGAGAAUUGAGGGGGGCUGCUCCUAGUACGAGAGGACCGGAGUGGACGCAUCACUGGUGUUCGGGUUGUCAUGCCAAUGGCACUGCCCGGUAGCUAAAUGCGGAAGAGAUAAGUGCUGAAAGCAUCUAAGCACGAAACUUGCCCCGAGAUGAGUUCUCCCUGAGACUUUAAGUCUCCUGAAGGAACGUUAAAGACGAUGACGUUGAUAGGCCGGGUGUGUAAGCGCAGCGAUGCGUUGAGCUAACCGGUACUAAUGAACCGUGAGGCUUAACCUU